Molecule: ribosomal RNA, 472 nt
Filed under: uncultured bacterium
Lineage: Bacteria
Description: partial 16S ribosomal RNA
Rfam family: Bacterial small subunit ribosomal RNA
Source: RNAcentral
GACGAACGCUGGCGGCGUGCUUAACACAUGCAAGUCGAACGCUGAAGCUUGGUGUUUGCACUGGGUGGAUGAGUGGCGAACGGGUGAGUAAUACGUGAGUAACCUGCUCUUGACUCUGGGAUAAGCCUGGGAAACUGGGUCUAAUACUGGAUACGACAUGUCACCGCAUGGUGGUGUGUGGAAAGGGUUUUACUGGUUUUGGAUGGGCUCAUGGCCUAUCAGCUUGUUGGUGGGGUAAUGGCCCACCAAGGCGACGACGGGUAGCCGGCCUGAGAGGGUGACCGGCCACAAUGGGACUGAGACACGGCGCAGACUCCUACGGGAGGCAGCAGUGGGAAAUAUUGCACAAUGGGCGGAAGCCUGAUGCAGCGACGCCGCGUGAGGGAUGACGGCCUUCGGGUUGUAAACCUCUUUCAGCACGGAAGAAGCGAAAGUGACGGUACGUGCAGAAGAAGCGCCGGCUAACUACGUG